Molecule: long non-coding RNA, 1612 nt
Filed under: Apis florea (little honeybee)
Lineage: Eukaryota; Metazoa; Arthropoda; Insecta; Hymenoptera; Apidae
Description: uncharacterized LOC105735120, transcript variant X1
Source: RNAcentral
AAAAAAAAAAAAAACGAAGAGAGUUUAGAACAGGAAGCUUUAACCAAACGAAUUGAAAGGGGUCGAAGAGCACGAACGGAGGGAGAGAGAGAUAGAUAGAUAGAGAUUUUCUUUCUUUCUUUCUUUCUUUCUCUCUUCUCUUCUCCGGUUCUCGGGCGAAAGAAGAAAACUGGUUUCCGUUCCGUGCGGUUUUGCGCGGUCUAUUUGGCCGGAUGGGGAGGGGAGGGGAGGUGGAGUGGCCGAGAUUUGUCUUUUUUCCAAGUUGCACGCGCCACUGGAGGAAGUCAGGAGGGAGGGGGGCGGUGUUGUUACCGCGGGGAAGAUGGAUUAAGGAGAAGGGAUAGAAGAAGGGUGGAGCAAGAAAGGUGGUGGAGGAAAGAAGGUUCAUGAACGCGUGCUCGCGUGCCGUGCGCGAAUUAGGAACGGGUCCACGUGUAUUUUGUAUCUGUGUAUUUGGCCACGACAAGCCAGGCUCCCCAGGCGUCCGUAAAUCAUCCGAAUUAGCGCAAUUUCGACGUCGAGAGUGGCCCGGAACUGUUUCUGUCUCUCCGCCUUUCUUCGCGGUGGGGGGGCAGGAUUAAUGGAAGCGACGCGCGCGGCGAAGAAUGAAAAUUCGGCCGAGGGGUGGAGGCGAGGAGGAUCCCCGAGCAUCAUUAAGCGGAGAGAGUCGGUGGAGGAGGGGGGGAGGUUAAAACGAUCGACCUCGAGUCUUCUUGGAAAGGGGAAUAAAUCUCGCGUUCGUUGGAAAAACGUGAGUGGAAGGUUUUUUAUACACGGGGGAGUGAGGUUGACUGGCAUGAAAUAAUGGGGGAGAAAUAUAGGAGGGAUACAGUGGUAACACGCCUGAUCGCGUGGUAGUGCGAAAUUAUCAAAUCCAACGCUCUUUCUUUUCGUUUUCUUUUUUUUUUUUUUUCCUUGUAUUUUCAAGUCUGUACACACAAUUUUCGAUUUCUGCGAAAAUCUGGAAAAUUUGUUUAGAAAAUUUCGAUCGAUACGUAGAAGGAAUGAAGAAACGUUAACGAAAAUUUCAUGAAAAUUAACAAUAAUAAUGACGGUAAUUGGUUUAAUAAAAAAAAAAAAAAGGAAAAAGAAGAAUCAAUUUAUACGCUUCAAGUUGAUACAAUUAAAUUUGUUUCUCUCUAGUUCUCUAUAAAUAGUAAUGGCAAACGUGUCAAGAUCCACGCUUACCUUGAGAUUCAAUUUCACGGUUUUAAUUUCCCUUCCCGUUUUUUGCGGUUUUUUCGAAUGGGAUUGAAUAAUUAAAUAUUGUGGACGAGGAAGAGAGGGUGACACCGGUCUCUGCGGUUUAUUGUUUUUAAUUUUCGUGAACUGGACCAUCCCAUCCGUUCGUCUAACCGUGCAUAUGCAUAUAUGCGGAAUAUAUAUAUAUAAAGAGAGAGAGAGAGAGAGAGAGAGAGAGAGAGAGAGAGAGACAGAGAGAAAGAGAGAUAGAGAGAGAGAGAAGAGAGAGAGAGAGAAGGAGGAGAGGUUGGAGCGGGGAUCCGACGGCAGUUUGUUUCAUGAAUAUUUCAGCGUCUGGCGUUCCUGGUAAACAGCGGACGCCGUGGAAUUAUGUUUCCAGGCUGUUUUCAACGUCUGGCGUCGCCCGGGU